Non-coding RNA from Mycena rebaudengoi, 92 nucleotides. Lineage: Eukaryota; Fungi; Basidiomycota; Agaricomycetes; Agaricales; Mycenaceae. The record is from the annotation of a GenBank genome assembly.
GGCUUGGUGGCGGAGUGGUACGUGCCUGUCUCAUUUGAGAGUGUAGGGAGAAAUUUAUACAGGAGAUGCCUGUUCGACUCAGGCUCGAGCCA